Molecule: non-coding RNA, 70 nt
Organism: Podarcis lilfordi (Lilford's wall lizard)
Lineage: Eukaryota; Metazoa; Chordata; Lepidosauria; Squamata; Lacertidae
Source: the annotation of a GenBank genome assembly
GGACGUGGCUCAGUGGCAAAGCAUCUGCUUUGCGUCCAGAAGGUCCCAGGUUCAAUCCCUGGCAUCUUCC